CACUCAGUAAGGCAUUGUUCUUC
Molecule: microRNA, 23 nt
Filed under: Rattus norvegicus (Norway rat)
Lineage: Eukaryota; Metazoa; Chordata; Mammalia; Rodentia; Muridae
Description: Rno-Mir-506-P4_5p (mature (guide))
Source: RNAcentral